Molecule: long non-coding RNA, 1097 nt
Filed under: Anas platyrhynchos platyrhynchos (common mallard)
Lineage: Eukaryota; Metazoa; Chordata; Aves; Anseriformes; Anatidae
Description: lncRNA (ENSAPLG00000027005.1)
Source: RNAcentral
UUAAAAUUUCUAAAUUCAUAAAAUUUGAAAUAUAAUAACCAUAAGAAAUGAACUUUUUUUUUUUUUAAUGUUUCAGUGAUAUACCAAACAUGAAAAGAGUAUUUUGACAACACUGGCAAUACUAGCAAUGUAUCUAUUCAUUUUAAUCCUCAAAGUGUUUAGCCGCGUGCAUAUUUGGCCGUUUUCCUCCUUCUCUGCACUGCAGUGUUUAGCAGGCUGACAAUUUAAUUGCAACAACCUUCAGAGCUCUCUCAGUGCCUACAGGGGGAAGUUUAAAGGUAGAAGUUAACCUCAGCAUCACAAGAUAUGUGCUGGAGCCACUGUGCAGUCGCUCACGAGGCUGCUCAGGAGAGCCACCCGAGCAGGAGCCCGGCCGCCCCGAUCCACCUCUCCCUGCCUCCCACAGAGCAAGCCAAGGUACGUUAACCUCAUUAAACAACCAUUAGCUUUUGGGAAUCUCUACAUCUAGCUACACAGGAGUUCUCUAUAUAACGUGCAACAAUAGUCUUUGUGAAACACUUGGUUCUUUAAUCACUAUUUUUUCUGCUUUUGUGCUACUUCGAUGGACAAAGCUGCCCAGCUCCUGCUGAUGGUGAGCAUGCCUUAUCUGUAGUGCAGCAAAUAAAAGCUGUAUACCCAAUAAUUUGUUUGUUUUGCCCUUCUUAUCUCCAUUUUGGCAAGAAAAAGUCUUUUCUCUUUUACUGUUUUCCCAGAUCAGAUAGGAACAGGCCAUGGAGCCAGCUGGUAGGACUCAGUUCACUUAAGGACAAAACCCAGAAGCCAUGGAGAAGCCUAAGCCACUGAUUUCCAGGACAAUGUAGGCUCCUGCAAGGUCGUGUACUUUCUGAUACAGUGGGAUGUAGAGAUUCCUGAGAUGAUGUAGCUCCAGAUGGAUCUAUACAAGCUAAAAUGCUCACAUUUCUGCCAGGACUUCUGCAUGGAGCCGCACAAUGGAGAGGCACUCUUGUGCGUUGCAGACGUACCACAGCACAGUAAGGGCUCUUAGUCAUUUUACAAGAAUUUGGGCUUCACAUGGACUGCCUGUUAAAAUGGCUACUUGGUUGCAAGCAAGGGACCCAAAGCAGCAGAUGAAAAUG